AAACUUCACAAUGGGCGAAAGCCCGAUGAGGGAAUUCCUAGUGCUAGCACAUUUGUGUUAGCUUUUCCUUAGCGUAGAUAACUAGGGGAAUAAGGGCUGGGUAAGACGGGUGCUAGCCGCCGCGGUAAUACCCGCAGCCCGAGUGGUGGUCGAUUUUAUUGAGUCUAAAACGUUCGUAGCCGGUCUGAUAAAUCUCUGGGUAAAUCGGAAGGCUCAACUUUCCGAAUUCCGGAGAGACUGCUAGACUUGGGAUCGGGAGAGGUAAGAGGUACUUCAGGGGUAGGGUAAAAUCCUGUAAUCCUUGGAGGACCACCGGUGGCGAAGGCGUCUUACUAGAACGAAUCCGACGGUGAGGGACGAAGCCCUAGGUCGCAAACGGGAUUAGAUACCCCGGUAGUCUAGGGUGUAAACGCUGCAGACUUGGUGUUGGGGACCCUUCGUGGGUAUUCAGUGCCGGAGAGAAGUUGUUAAGUCUGCUACUUGGGGAGUACGUCCGCAAGGAUGAAACUUAAAGGAAUU
Molecule: ribosomal RNA, 519 nt
Filed under: uncultured bacterium
Lineage: Bacteria
Description: bacterial SSU rRNA
Rfam family: Archaeal small subunit ribosomal RNA
Source: RNAcentral